GACGAACGCUGGCGGCGUGCUUAACACAUGCAAGUCGAGCGGUAAGGCCCUUUCGGGGGUACACGAGCGGCGAACGGGUGAGUAACACGUGGGUGACCUGCCCUCAGCUCUGGGAUAAGCCCGGGAAACUGGGUCUAAUACUGGAUAUUACUCUGCGGUGCAUGCCGUGGGGUGGAAAGCCUUGUGCGGCUGGGGAUGGGCCCGCGGCCUAUCAGCUUGUUGGUGGGGUGAUGGCCUACCAAGGCGACGACGGGUAGCCGGCCUGAGAGGGCGACCGGCCACACUGGGACUGAGACACGGCCCAGACUCCUACGGGAGGCAGCAGUGGGGAAUCUUGCGCAAUGGGCGAAAGCCUGACGCAGCGACGCCGCGUGAGGGAUGACGCCUGU
Molecule: ribosomal RNA, 389 nt
Filed under: uncultured bacterium
Lineage: Bacteria
Description: bacterial SSU rRNA
Rfam family: Bacterial small subunit ribosomal RNA
Source: RNAcentral